Molecule: long non-coding RNA, 1920 nt
Filed under: Homo sapiens (human)
Lineage: Eukaryota; Metazoa; Chordata; Mammalia; Primates; Hominidae
Description: HSALNT0357339
Source: RNAcentral
CCGCGUGGCCUGAGGCUCCGCUCUGCUUCCGGAUGGAGGGGCUUGUGGGGGGUCCCGGCCUCCUGCGCAUCCGCCGCCGCAGGCUGCAGACCAGGUCGGCGAGGCCCAGCAGAAAAGACAGCGCGCUGACCGCCCAGAGGAACAGCAUCAGCAGGGACUUCUCUGUGGGCCGCGACACGUAGCAGUCCACCACGCCCGUGCACGGAGGGCGCGUGCAAGGGAACUUCUUCGGGGCCAGGAAUCCAAAGAGAAAGUAGUGCAAGGCCCCGAAGGCUGCCUCCAGCAGGGUCCGGAGGAGGAGGUGGAUGAUGUAGCCGGCCGAAAAGUCGGGCACCUGGAGGCCGCCGCGCUCCCCGAAUGGCCGCGGGCAGCGUCUCUGCCCGGAGGCCGGCUCCCGGGGGUCGGGGCAGCGGCGGGGGCCCAGCGCGGCGAGCGUGGCUCCUCGGUGCAGGACAUAGACGCUGAAGACGGCGGAGGGGAGGAGGACGCACACGCCCUGGAUCAGCCAGAACCGCAGCCACACCAGGGUUGCACACAAACACCCCUCCACCUGCUUUGGUCUUUGGAGUCAGCACCCCAGUGUCAGCACAGGAUGAUCUGUGAGAGAACAAUGUCAAACGCAAGACUCCCUUACAUGACGGAGGAACCGCGGAACCAUUCAAAGAAACUAGAAGCCUCAGCUCUCUUCCCUCCAGAAAGGCACAGCCCUUUCUUUUGGGAGUGGGUGGACUUUCAGCUUGGUGCUUGCACACUGAAAAUGAGUAAAUACCUGGACCCUUUAAGGACUCAAUUCCACCAUGGCAGUGGAAAUAAAAACAGCGCAGGAGUUUGGAGAUGGUCCCAAUACUCACCCACCAUGGUCACGUUGCAGUUUAAUGUGAUGAUGAGAAACCCUAGCAAGUCCACGCCUUCCAUGCUUCCAGAAUGUCCCAGGCUCCAGGCUGCAGGAGACACUGGAGGGCUGUGUUCUCCAAGGAGGCGGAUAAAUGUCCUUUAACUACAUAAGACUUAAAGGUGUGAGCUGGAGAUAAGAAAGCAAAGGUCUGAGCCAGGAGUAGGAGGUGGGUUUUUCUGUCUCCAAGUUGAGACGGCCCUAAGCCGUUUGCCUCUGAGGCGAAACAUUCCUGACAACUGCAGUGACCAGCAGAGCAAGCAGCAGUCAUCUCUUAUUGUGGGCUAUUCUUACUCGCCUGGGAUAUUCCCGGCCUGUGGCAGCGCUCAUAUGUCCCCACCAGGACAGCCAGAUGCUUCAGGAUAUAAUAGCAGCAACUACUUUUAACCCAAGAAAGAAAACUUCUGCUAACUAGCCAAGUAAAUUUCUCUAUUAAAAAGGCAUUUCCUCCUUGAAAACAUUUCCACAACCACUUCACUUGUGCAAGAAGCCCUUAAAGUGUUCACGUUUUGUCUUCUCAAUCAAGCAUGAAUCGCCAUGCCACCAUCACACGAACCCACAAGGAUCUCGCCCUUAUUCUGAAUUCCUGUGUCAUUGGUGCAGGCAGAAAUCUGAAACUCAGUUGGGUGUCCCAACUUUAGACCGUGACUUGGUUAUUCUCCUGCUGCUUCCUGUGCAGUGAGUGACAACUCUUCGCUUGGAGACAAAAGCCUGGGUGCAAAGCCCGGGGCAGCCCCCUACUCACUGGGGAAGUCAUUGGAUCCUUCCAGAUAGCCUCAUCUUGCAAUAAGGAGAAUCAUGCCAUUCCACUUGCCAUUUGUGGGAGGCUUAUGUGAAAUGAUGGUGUAGAAUAAGAGCAACUGGUGUGAAGUGGGUGUACGACAACCCAUAUCCGUGGGAUUUCAAUCCCUAAUUGGCCUCUACGACCUUCACAGAUUACAUCUUCCCUUUGUAUCUCCCAGCCCCAUCUAGCCUGGAGCUGUUCCCAUUGAAUCUACUUAAUAAAUGUCUGUUAAAUCUGUCAUGAA